Molecule: ribosomal RNA, 267 nt
Filed under: uncultured bacterium
Lineage: Bacteria
Description: partial 16S ribosomal RNA
Rfam family: Bacterial small subunit ribosomal RNA
Source: RNAcentral
GUCCACGCCUAAACGAUGUCAACUGGUUGUUGGGAAGGCAACUUCCUUAGUAACGAAGCUAACGCGUGAAGUUGACCGCCUGGGGAGGUACGGCCGCAAGGUUAAAACUACAAAGGAAUUGACGGGGACCCGGCACAAGCGGUGGAUGAUGUGGAUUAAUUCGAUGCAACGCGAAGAACCUUACCUACCCUUGACAUGUACGGAAUCCUGCUGAGAGGUGGGAGUGCCCGAAAGGGAGCCGUAACACAGGUGCUGCAUGGCUGUCGU